This 404-nucleotide RNase P RNA is filed under the name Lentisphaerae bacterium GWF2_57_35. RNAcentral's name for it is "RNase P RNA component class A". It matches the Rfam family "Bacterial RNase P class A". From Rfam's summary of the family: Ribonuclease P (RNase P) is a ubiquitous endoribonuclease, found in archaea, bacteria and eukarya as well as chloroplasts and mitochondria. Its best characterised activity is the generation of mature 5'-ends of tRNAs by cleaving the 5'-leader elements of precursor-tRNAs. Lineage: Bacteria; Pseudomonadati; Lentisphaerota. The record is from RNAcentral. RNAcentral also lists the same sequence under 1 other name.
UGAACUGAAGUGUCUGGUCGCUCCGAUUAAUCUCGGAGAGGAAAGUCCGGACUCCAUAGGGCAGGAUGUCCCUCGUUAUUCGAGGGAAACCCUUUGCUACAACGAAGGGGAUGGAAAGUGCCACAGAAAACAAACCGCCUCGAAAAUGCCGCAAGGCAUCUUCCGGGGUAAGGGCGAAACGGCGGUGUAAGAGACCACCGGUCAUAGUCGUAAGGCAUGACGCAAGGCAAACCCCAUCCGGAGCAAGAUCAAAUAAGGGGUUGGAGGCUGCUCGUCUCGUUCCCGUUUCGGCGGGAGUAAACUCCGGGUUGAUCGCAGAGAACCUCUUUAAGGGGUUCAAUAGAUAAAUGACCAACCUGUGGAAACACAGGCAACAAAAUUCGGCUUACGGCUUCAUUCAUCGA